RNAcentral lists this ribosomal RNA (497 nucleotides) under uncultured bacterium. RNAcentral's name for it is "partial 16S ribosomal RNA". It matches the Rfam family "Bacterial small subunit ribosomal RNA", at positions 28 to 507 of the family's 1533-position model. The record is from RNAcentral.
GAUGAACGCUGGCGGCGUGCCUAAUACAUGCAAGUCGAGCGAACGGACGAGAAGCUUGCUUCCCUGCUGUUAGCGGCGGACGGGUGAGUAACACGUGGAUAACCUACUUAUAAGACUGGGAUAAUUUCGGGAAACCGGAGCUAAUAAUGGAUAAUAUUUUGAACCGCAUGGAUCAAAAGAUAAAGACGGUCUUGCUGUCAGUAUUAGCUGGAUCCGGGCUGGAUUAGCUAGUUGGUAAGGUAACGGCUUACCAAGGCAACGAUGCAUAGCCGAACUGAGAGGGUGAUCAGCCACACUGGAACUGAGACACGGUCCAGACUCCUACGGGAGGCAGCAGUAGGGAAUCUUCCGCAAUGGGCGAAAGCCUGACGGAGCAACGCCGCGUGAGUGAUGAAGGUCUUCGGAUCGUAAAACUCUGUUAUUAGGGAAGAACAGAUGUAUAUUUAACUGUGCACAUCUUGACGGUACCUAAUCAGAAAGCCACGGCUAACUUCGUG